Molecule: ribosomal RNA, 468 nt
Filed under: Triticum aestivum (bread wheat)
Lineage: Eukaryota; Viridiplantae; Streptophyta; Magnoliopsida; Poales; Poaceae
Description: partial small subunit ribosomal RNA
Source: RNAcentral
AUGGAGAUCAAGGAGCACUACUUUGAGUUUCUGCAGGGAGAACAUGAUAAGAGACGCACAUCUGAAAAGAUUGCUGAUGAUCAGUUAUUUGCUUCUGCGCCAUUUGACAGGCCAAGCAAUGGGCUUCGGAAUAUGGAACAACCAAAAAAAUACCCAAAUAUGUCAACACUCGUGUUACAGAGGUGUUCCCAGUUAAAAAAUCCAGAAACAUUGGAGAGGAAAACUAUAAGCUCGCCUGACUCCUCUACCCAGCAAGAGAAGAUGAAGGAGAAAUUGUGCAGCCUCCAUCCCUGUCCAACGUGUUGUGCGUUGCAGGAGGAGCGAGCGGACGCCGGAGACUGGCAACAAGCCGAGGUUGGAGCGGUGAUGGUGGCUGCAGCGGGAAAAACCGCGCCGGCAACAAGCACAAUUCCUCAUCUCUGUCUCCAACGAAAAGGAUCAUCUGGGCCCUAUGCUACUAUUGCUUGA